RNAcentral lists this ribosomal RNA (2650 nucleotides) under Xanthomonas fragariae LMG 25863. RNAcentral's name for it is "bacterial LSU rRNA". The stretch from base 969 to 2650 matches the Rfam family "Bacterial large subunit ribosomal RNA". Lineage: Bacteria; Pseudomonadati; Pseudomonadota; Gammaproteobacteria; Lysobacterales; Lysobacteraceae. The record is from RNAcentral.
AGGCAAGCUGGAGCAACUGGAGCUGGUGCGUCAUGCGUUGCCGAAAGGCGUUAGCGCCAUUUUUGUGACGCAGGCUGAAGCACUGGGUCUGGGCCACGCAGUUCUUUGCGCCAAGGCGGUGGUGGGUGAUGAGCCGUUCGCUGUGUUGCUGCCAGACGAUCUCAUCUGGAAUCGCGGCGCUGGUGCGCUGACGCAGAUGGCUGAUGUGGCAGAAGCCUCCGGUGGCAGUGUUAUCGCGGUCGAAGAUGUGCCGCACGACAUGACCGCGAGCUACGGCAUCGUGGCUACUGACGUGUUCGAUGGCCACAAGGGUCGCAUCACCGCCAUUGUUGAAAAGCCCAAGCCGGAAGUGGCGCCUAGCACUCUGGCCGUGGUCGGGCGCUAUGUGCUCAGCCCGAAAAUCUUCGAACUGCUCGAACAGACCGAUGCAGGAGCGGGUGGAGAAAUUCAAUUGACUGAUGCGAUUGCUGGGCUGCUGCAGCAGGAAACUGUCGAUGCGUAUCGUUUCGAGGGCCGUCGCUUCGAUUGCGGCGCGCAUAUUGGUCUGAUCGAGGCUACGGUGCACUUCGCGCUUGAGCACAAGAAGCAUGGGGGACUUGCGAAGGAAAUCCUGCGCGCUGCGUUGGCCGAGGCAGACGCUCGCAGCUGAUUGCCUCGCACCGUUUGCAUCCACGAACGACGCCACCUGGCGUCGUUCGUCGUUUUGGGGCGUCACUGAUCAGGGCCGAUCUGCUGUUUGGGAUCGAUCCAACAGGGACGACUGAUCGACAGACGCGCAUCCAGGUGCAGGCCAGUGCAGAGCGUGUACGGCUGGGAUCCCUGGCAUGAGCAGCCUGCCGAAUACAGUGAAUUGAUCAACGUGGUGGCCCUGCUGGGCGCUGCCGUGGUUGCGAUUCUGCUAUUUCGUCGCCUCGGCCUGGACUCGGUGCUCGGUCACCUGGGCGCCGGAUUGGCUAUUGGCCCAUUCGGGCUGGGCUUGUUCGACGAGCCGCAGGCGAUCUUGCAUGCGUUCGAAUUGGACGUGUUGAUGUUCCUGUUCUUGUUCGGGCUGCAAACGCAGCCGUCGCAUCUGUGGAGUUUUUGCAAAUAGAUCUUCGGUCUGGGCACUGUGCAGAUCGUGGUCUGCGCGACGUCCCUCCGAUUUUGAGUAGCGCCUCAGUUUGGAGUCCAAUUCCCUACCCCGAGGAGAUUGUAGGUGUACCGGGCGUUGGUUGUCCCGGGGAAAGGCGGUAGGUUUGAAUCUUUGGCAAAUCCGGGAUUCUUUAAGACCGAGCACCGAGACGAGCCUUUAUGGCAAAGUCACUGAUACCACGCUUCCAGGAAAAGCUUCUAAGCUUCAGCUCACGAAGACCGUACCGUAAACCGACACAGGUGGGUAGGAUGAGAAUUCUCAGGCGCUUGAGAGAACUCGGGUGAAGGAACUAGGCAACAUGGCACCGUAACUUCGGGAGAAGGUGCACCCUUUUUGGUGGCUCAUGCGAGCUAUAGCUGAAGAGGGUCGCAGAAACCAGGCCGCUGCGACUGUUUAUCAAAAACACAGCACUCUGCAAACACGAAAGUGGACGUAUAGGGUGUGACGCCUGCCCGGUGCUGGAAGGUUAAUUGAUGGGGUCAGCCGCAAGGCGAAGCUCUUGAUCGAAGCCCCAGUAAACGGCGGCCGUAACUAUAACGGUCCUAAGGUAGCGAAAUUCCUUGUCGGGUAAGUUCCGACCUGCACGAAUGGCGUAACGACAGCGGCGCUGUCUCCACCCGAGACUCAGUGAAAUUGAAAUCGCUGUGAAGAUGCAGCGUUCCCGUGGCAAGACGGAAAGACCCCGUGAACCUUUACUAUAGCUUUACACUGAACGUUGAGUUCGUCUGUGUAGGAUAGGUGGGAGGCUAUGAAACUGUGGCGCUAGCUGCAGUGGAGCCAUCCUUGAAAUACCACCCUGUCGUGCUUGACGUUCUAACCUAGAUCCGUUAUCCGGAUCAGGGACCGUGUAUGGUGGGUAGUUUGACUGGGGCGGUCUCCUCCUAAAGAGUAACGGAGGAGCACGAAGGUACGCUCAGCGCGGUCGGACAUCGCGCACUGUGUGCAAAGGCAUAAGCGUGCUUGACUGCAAGAUCGACGGAUCAAGCAGGUACGAAAGUAGGUCUUAGUGAUCCGGUGGUUCUGUAUGGAAGGGCCAUCGCUCAACGGAUAAAAGGUACUCCGGGGAUAACAGGCUGAUACCGCCCAAGAGUUCAUAUCGACGGCGGUGUUUGGCACCUCGAUGUCGGCUCAUCACAUCCUGGGGCUGUAGUCGGUCCCAAGGGUAUGGCUGUUCGCCAUUUAAAGUGGUACGCGAGCUGGGUUCAGAACGUCGUGAGACAGUUCGGUCCCUAUCUGCCAUGGGCGUUGGAAGUUUGAGAGGGGCUGCUCCUAGUACGAGAGGACCGGAGUGGACGAACCUCUGGUGUUCCGGUUGUCACGCCAGUGGCAUUGCCGGGUAGCUAUGUUCGGAAGCGAUAACCGCUGAAAGCAUCUAAGCGGGAAGCGCGCCUCAAGAUGAGACUUCCCGGGGCACAAGCCCCCUAAAGGAACCAUGUAGACUACGUGGUUGAUAGGUCAGGUGUGUAAGUACAGCAAUGUAUUGAGCUAACUGAUACUAAUGAUCCGUGCGGCUUGACC